UAGUUGUACAGAGAAAACUCUGAUAAACAGGCAAUGAGCUAUUAUAAUAGUAAGUGUUAUAUGUUAACACCUCACGUUUGUUGGAAAGUCACGCUGAUGCGUGGCUUUUUUAGUUAAA
This 118-nucleotide small RNA is filed under the name Companilactobacillus tucceti DSM 20183. RNAcentral describes it as "Lactobacillus tucceti DSM 20183 DUF3800-I RNA". It matches the Rfam family "DUF3800-I RNA". From Rfam's summary of the family: Actinobacteria, Firmicutes, Fusobacteria, Proteobacteria (1 example), Tenericutes (2 examples). Terminator (Clostridia) The record is from Rfam by way of RNAcentral. Lineage: Bacteria; Bacillati; Bacillota; Bacilli; Lactobacillales; Lactobacillaceae.